GGCGGAUGUGGCCAAGUGGAUUAAGGCGGU
This 30-nucleotide transfer RNA is filed under the name Dichondra recurvata. RNAcentral describes it as "partial tRNA-His". The record is from RNAcentral. Lineage: Eukaryota; Viridiplantae; Streptophyta; Magnoliopsida; Solanales; Convolvulaceae.